RNAcentral lists this ribosomal RNA (253 nucleotides) under uncultured bacterium. Its description in RNAcentral is "partial 16S ribosomal RNA". It matches the Rfam family "Bacterial small subunit ribosomal RNA", at positions 524 to 776 of the family's 1533-position model. The record is from RNAcentral.
GACAGAGGGUGCGACCGUUGUUCGGAAUUACUGGGCGUAAAGCGCGUGUAGGCGGCAGCGUGUGUCGGGCGUGAAAUCCCACGGCUCAACCGUGGAAGUGCACUCGAAACUGCGCAGCUAGAGUCCUGGAGAGGAAGGUGGAAUGCUUGGUGUAGAGGUGAAAUUCGUAGAUAUCAAGCGGAACACCGGUGGCGAAGGCGGCCUUCUGGACAGUGACUGACGCUGAGACGCGAAAGCGUGGGGAGCAAACAGG